Molecule: ribosomal RNA, 497 nt
Filed under: uncultured bacterium
Lineage: Bacteria
Description: partial 16S ribosomal RNA
Rfam family: Bacterial small subunit ribosomal RNA
Source: RNAcentral
GAUGAACGCUGGCGGCGUGCCUAAUACAUGCAAGUCGAGCGAACGGACGAGAAGCUUGCUUCUCUGAUGUUAGCGGCGGACGGGUGAGUAACAUGUGGAUCACCUACCUAUAAGACUGGGAUAACUUCGGGACACCGGAGCUUAUACCGGAUAAUAUUUUGCACCGCAUGGUUCAAAAGUGAAAGUCGGUCUUGCUGUCUCUUAUAGAUGGAUCCGCGCUGCAUUAGCUAGUUGGUAAGGUAACGGCUUACCAAGGCAACCAUGCAUAGCCGACCUGAGAGGGUGGUAGGCCACCCUGGAGCUGAGACGCGGUCCUGACUCCUACGAGAGGCAGCAGUAGGGAAUCUUCCGCAAUGGGCGAAAGCCUGACGGAGCGGCGCCGCGUGAGUGAUGAAGGUCUUGCGAUCGUAAAACUCUGUUAUUGGGGGAGAACAUAUGUGUAAGUAACUGUAGCGUUCUUGACGGUACCUGAUCAAGAAGCCACGGCUAACUACGUG